This 253-nucleotide ribosomal RNA is filed under the name uncultured bacterium. RNAcentral's name for it is "partial 16S ribosomal RNA". It matches the Rfam family "Bacterial small subunit ribosomal RNA", at positions 524 to 776 of the family's 1533-position model. The record is from RNAcentral.
UACGGGGGGGGUAAGCGUUGUUCGGAAUUACUGGGCGUAAAGGGCUCGUAGGCGGCCCACUAAGUCAUACGUGAAAUCCCUCAGCUUAACUGGGGAACUGCGUGUGAUACUGGAUGGCUUGGAUGUGGGAGAGGGAUGCGGAAUUCCAGGUGUAGCGGUGAAAUGCGUAGAUAUCUGGAGGAACACCGGUGGCGAAGGCGGCAUCCUGGACCAUUAUUGACGCUGAGGAGCGAAAGCCAGGGGAGCAAACGGG